GGUCAGGAUAGCUCAGUUGGUAGAGCAGAGGACUGAAAAUCCUCGUG
Molecule: transfer RNA, 47 nt
Filed under: Aristida congesta
Lineage: Eukaryota; Viridiplantae; Streptophyta; Magnoliopsida; Poales; Poaceae
Also listed under: 1 other name
Description: partial tRNA-Phe
Rfam family: tRNA
About the family: Transfer RNA (tRNA) molecules are approximately 80 nucleotides in length. Their secondary structure includes four short double-helical elements and three loops (D, anti-codon, and T loops).
Source: RNAcentral